CCAUCGUCCAUCUGAAACGGUAUCAAGCUAUAAAUAAACCCAUCACCCUGGCUGGAUGGCCGAGGCAUUUUUGGUUGAAAUAGUUUUAAGAGUUGAAUUUGUUUCACAUAUAAAUGCUAUUUUGCAGGGGUUGUGUACAUGAGCUUGUAUAUACAUAUAUACAAAGAAACAUGUUGGGAUGAAGUGAAUUCAUGUAGAGGGGACUGAGAGGAAGGAAAGGUAAGUGAUCCGGGAAAUGUAAGUAUACAUGCAGCAAGCGCCACUAGAGGGAGGUCUUGUUCUAAAACUGAACAGUUCAGUAAGGGAGAAUAAAUGAAAACAAAAGGGCUUCAUUAGGCGAUCUUCACUUUAUGCGCUCUCAGGUUUCAAGAAAGCAAAAAGCCAGUGUGACAAAUUUCGCAUCAUGGUUUCGCUGGAAUGGCAAAAUACAUACCACAUCGCAUGAGGGGAAUCAAAGAAAACAACCGCGCAGAUAGAUGGAUACGAAAGGAG
RNAcentral lists this small RNA (492 nucleotides) under Histoplasma capsulatum. RNAcentral describes it as "hypothetical RNA". The record is from RNAcentral. Lineage: Eukaryota; Fungi; Ascomycota; Eurotiomycetes; Onygenales; Ajellomycetaceae. RNAcentral also lists the same sequence under 1 other name.